RNAcentral lists this long non-coding RNA (797 nucleotides) under Centruroides sculpturatus (bark scorpion). RNAcentral's name for it is "uncharacterized LOC111633857, transcript variant X1". Lineage: Eukaryota; Metazoa; Arthropoda; Arachnida; Scorpiones; Buthidae. The record is from RNAcentral.
CACCAUAAGAGGGCGCUGUCUGAUGUUUACGUUUUUAAAUUUGAAAUUAACGCAUGCCGGAAAAUUAGACAAAAGUUAUGACUCCACCGUCUAAUGUCGAAAAUAAAUGCACGAGGGGUGAAGACUUCCGAAAUGACUACAUUUCUCUGUGUUUCUACUAUAAAUUGUGUCCUUCUACAUGCAUGAAGAAAAUACAACUUGAUAAGGGAAGAUUGCAUUGCACUCUUGACCUUUUAGAUUCGUCCGUGUGGACUCCUUUACUCGAAGCCAUUGAAAUGAAUGAAAGUUUAGAAGGGAUUGUUCUGCAUAGUGAAUAUUUAAAAAAAAUGUCAGGAAAUAUUAGUGAUUGUAAUAUUUACAGAUUCUUCUUAGAAAAAUAUAGUGUGUUAAAAGGACUUCCAAUAAUCCUUAAACCAGAAUUAUUGACUAAGUUGAUUAAAUCUUUAUCAGCUUGUAUCUACAAGAAUAAAAAUUUGAAAUUUUUAGAAAUAACUGGAUUACCGCUUUCUUUGAAUCACAUGGAAUGUUUAUCAGAGGUAAUAUAUUUUUUAAUUCAUUUCUUAAGAAAAGAAGUGAUUAGAUUUGCAUGUGUUAAUAGGCACGUUAUCUAGUAAAUUGGCUUUAAUACAGCUGAAUGAGAAAUGAAUGACAUUGCCCAUUUGUUAUAAUAUAGAAAGAUAUUGUUGAAUUUGUUUGAUUCUGAAAUAUUCAAGUUUACUUUCUUUGCCAUCCUUUACAAUUGUAUACUUUUUUAAAGUUUGCCAUGCAGAUAUUAACAUGUUCUUUCUUCAUGUCUA